UUAAUUGAAACCAAAGCAGAGGUAUGCCACUGUUAAUGGCAUUAAUGAAAUAACUUCCAAUUGAG
Molecule: transfer RNA, 65 nt
Filed under: Scolytus sp. APV-2011
Lineage: Eukaryota; Metazoa; Arthropoda; Insecta; Coleoptera; Curculionidae
Description: tRNA-Asn
Source: RNAcentral